UAGAGGCAACCAGUGAAGUGGGUUCUAUUAUUGCCCUGUCUCAUGGAUGAGGCAACCAAGCAUCAGAGAUGUUAAAAGAAGCAUGUGCCGGUUCAUACAGCUGGUGGUGAAACUGUGGCCAGUGAGCUCAAGAGAAAUCCUGGGAGGAAAAAAACCCUUUUAUCCCUGAUAUAAAAAAUGCAUGAGGAGAAACUGCCCUUCCUUACGGCCUUUCGAUAUUCCUGGGGAAAAAUGUGAUGGUUGCAGCUGCAGUAGGUUUUUGUCAUUAAUACAAAAGAUGGCAGAGACAAGACAGGAAAAACACCGACCUCCUCAGUGACAUUGCUGAGUCUGGGAAACAAUCCUGCAACCUCCUUACUGCUCUGGACUUCUUAUUGGUAAAAUAGUUUGGGUUUUUUUUUCUUUUUACAUUGAGACAGGGUCUUGUUCUGUCUCCCAGGCUGGGGUGCAGUGGCGUGAUCUCAGCUCACUGCAACCUCUGCCUUCUGGGCUCAGAUGAUCCUCCCCUCUCGGCCUCCUGAGUAGCUGGGACCACAGGCAUGUGCCAUCAUGCCCAGCUAACUUUUGUAUUUUUUUUGUAGCAACAGGAUUUUCCCAUGUUACCCGGGCUGGUCUUGGAUUCCUGGGCCCAAGUGAUCCACCCACCAUGGCUUCCCAAAGUGCUGGGAUCACAGGAGUGAGCUGCUGUGCCUGGCCUAAAACAGUUUCUUUUAAAAAUUUACUAUUGUCCCGGCGUGGUGGCUCAUACCUGUAAUCCCAGCACUUUGGGAGGCUGAGGUGGGUGAAUCACGAGGUCAGGAGUUUGAGACCAGCCUGGCCAACACAGUGAAACCCCAUCUCUACUAAAAAUACAAAAAAUUAGCUGUGUGUAGUGGUGGGCACCUGUAAUCCCAGCUACUUGAGAGGCUGAGGCAGGAGAAUCACUUGAACCUGGGAGAUGAAGGUUGCAGUGAGCUGAGAUCAUGCCACUGCAGUCCAGCCUGGGUGACAGAGUGAGACUUUGUCUCAGAAACAAAAUAAAUAAAUA
Molecule: long non-coding RNA, 1027 nt
Filed under: Homo sapiens (human)
Lineage: Eukaryota; Metazoa; Chordata; Mammalia; Primates; Hominidae
Description: HSALNT0055712
Source: RNAcentral